RNAcentral lists this ribosomal RNA (119 nucleotides) under Aptenodytes forsteri (emperor penguin). Lineage: Eukaryota; Metazoa; Chordata; Aves; Sphenisciformes; Spheniscidae. The record is from RNAcentral.
GCCUACGGCCAUACCACCCUAGGAAUGCCUGAUCUCAUCUGAUCUCGGAAGCUAGGCAGGGUCAGGCCCGGUUAGUACUUGGAUGGGAGACUGACAGGGAAUACCGGGGGGUGUAACAA